Molecule: ribosomal RNA, 253 nt
Filed under: uncultured bacterium
Lineage: Bacteria
Description: partial 16S ribosomal RNA
Rfam family: Bacterial small subunit ribosomal RNA
Source: RNAcentral
UACGUAGGGGGCAAGCGUUGUCCGGAAUCAUUGGGCGUAAAGAGCGUGUAGGCGGUUCGGUAAGUCGGCUGUGAAAGUCCAGGGCUCAACCCUGGGAUGCCGGUGGAUACUGUCGAGCUCGAGUCCGGAAGAGGCGAGUGGAAUUCCUGGUGUAGCGGUGAAAUGCGCAGAUAUCAGGAGGAACACCAAUGGCGAAGGCAGCUCGCUGGGACGUGACUGACGCUGAGACGCGAAAGCGUGGGGAGCAAACAGG